CCUACGGGUGGCGGCAGUGAGGAAUAUUGGUCAAUGGGCGCGAGCCGGAACCAGCCAAGUAGCGGGAAGGAUGACAGCCCUACGGGUUGUAAACUUCUGUUAUAAAGGAAUAAAGUGAGGCACGUGUGCCUUUUUGUAUGUACCUUAUGAAUAAGGAUCGGCUAACUCCGUGCCAGCAGCCGCGGUAAUACGGAGGAUCCGAGCGUUAUCCGGAUUUAUUGGGUUUAAAGGGAGCGUAGAUGGGUUGUUAAGUCAGUUGUGAAAGUUUGCGGCUCAACCGUGAAAUUGCAAUUGAUACUGGCAGGCUAUAGUGCAGUUGAGGUAGGCGGAAUUCGUGGUGUAGCGGUGAAAUGCUUAGAUAUCACGAAGAACUCCGAUUGCGAAGGCAGCCUACUAAACUGCCACUGACGUUGAUGCUCGAAAGUGUGGGUAUCAAACAGGAUUAGAUACCCUGGUAGUC
Molecule: ribosomal RNA, 460 nt
Filed under: uncultured bacterium
Lineage: Bacteria
Description: partial 16S ribosomal RNA
Rfam family: Bacterial small subunit ribosomal RNA
Source: RNAcentral